RNAcentral lists this ribosomal RNA (100 nucleotides) under Psora decipiens. Its description in RNAcentral is "partial 5.8S ribosomal RNA". It matches the Rfam family "5.8S ribosomal RNA", at positions 1 to 100 of the family's 154-position model. Rfam says of the family: 5.8S ribosomal RNA (5.8S rRNA) is a component of the large subunit of the eukaryotic ribosome. It is transcribed by RNA polymerase I as part of the 45S precursor that also contains 18S and 28S rRNA. Lineage: Eukaryota; Fungi; Ascomycota; Lecanoromycetes; Lecanorales; Psoraceae. The record is from RNAcentral.
AACUUUCAACAACGGAUCUCUUGGUUCUGGCAUCGAUGAAGAACGCAGCGAAAUGCGAUAACUAAUGUGAAUUGCAGAAUUCAGUGAAUCAUCGAAUCUU